Molecule: ribosomal RNA, 1334 nt
Filed under: uncultured bacterium
Lineage: Bacteria
Description: bacterial SSU rRNA
Rfam family: Bacterial small subunit ribosomal RNA
Source: RNAcentral
GACGAACGCUGGCGGCGUGCUUAACACAUGCAAGUCGAACGGAAAGGCCCGCUUGCGGGUACUCGAGUGGCGAACGGGUGAGUAACACGUGGGCAACCUGCCCUCAGCUUUGGGAUAACUCCCGGAAACGGGUGCUAAUACCGAAUAUUGACACAGUGUCGCAUGGUGUUGUGUUGAAAGUUUUUCGGCUGGGGAUGGGCCCGCGGCCUAUCAGCUUGUUGGUGGGGUGAUGGCCUACCAAGGCGACGACGGGUAGCCGGCCUGAGAGGGCGAUCGGCCACACUGGAACUGAGACACGGUCCAGACUCCUACGGGAGGCAGCAGUGGGGAAUAUUGCGCAAUGGGCGGAAGCCUGACGCAGCGACGCCGCGUGAGGGAUGAAGGUCUUCGGAUUGUAAACCUCUUUCAGUAGGGACGAAUAAAAGACGGUACCUGCAGAAGAAGCACCGGCCAACUACGUGCCAGCAGCCGCGGUAAUACGUAGGGUGCGAGCGUUGUCCGGAAUUAUUGGGCGUAAAGAGCUCGUAGGCGGUUCGUCGCGUCGAAUGUGAAAUCCCGGGGCUCAACUCCGGGUCUGCAUUCGAUACGGGCGGACUAGAGUUCGGUAGGGGAGACUGGAAUUCCUGGUGUAGCGGUGAAAUGCGCAGAUAUCAGGAGGAACACCGGUGGCGAAGGCGGGUCUCUGGGCCGAUACUGACGCUGAGGAGCGAAAGCGUGGGGAGCGAACAGGAUUAGAUACCCUGGUAGUCCACGCCGUAAACGGUGGGCGCUAGGUGUGGGGGACUUCCACGUUCUCUGUGCCGCAGCUAACGCAUUAAGCGCCCCGCCUGGGGAGUACGGCCGCAAGGCUAAAACUCAAAGGAAUUGACGGGGGCCCGCACAAGCGGCGGAGCAUGCUGAUUAAUUCGAUGCAACGCGAAGAACCUUACCAAGGCUUGACAUACACCGGAAACUUCCAGAAAUGGUUGCCCCGCAAGGUCGGUGUACAGGUGGUGCAUGGUUGUCGUCAGCUCGUGUCGUGAGAUGUUGGGUUAAGUCCCGCAACGAGCGCAACCCUCGUCUUAUGUUGCCAGCACGUCAUGGUGGGGACUCAUAAGAGACUGCCGGGGUCAACUCGGAGGAAGGUGGGGAUGAGGUCAAAUCAUCAUGCCCCUUAUGUCUUGGGCUUCAAGCAUGCUACAAUGGCCGGUACAAAGGGCUGCGAUACCGCGAGGUGGAGCGAAUCCCAAAAAGCCGGUCUCAGUUCGGAUUGGGGUCUGCAACUCGACCCCAUGAAGUCGGAGUCGCUAGUAAUCGCAGAUCAGCAACGCUGCGGUGAAUACGUUCCCGGGCCU